AGAGUUUGAUUCUGGCUCAGGAUGAACGCUAGCGACAGGCUUAACACAUGCAAGUCGAGGGCAUCACGGGAGUAGCAAUACAACUGGUGGCGACCGGCGCACGGGUGAGUAACGCGUAUGCAACCUACCUAUCAGAGGGGAAUAACCCGGCGAAAGUCGGACUAAUACCGCAUAAAACAGGGGCACCGCAUGGUGAUAUUUGUUAAAGAAAUUCGCUGAUAGAUGGGCAUGCGUUCCAUUAGGUAGUUGGUGAGGUAACGGCUCACCAAGCCGACGAUGGAUAGGGGAACUGAGAGGUUGGUCCCCCACACUGGUACUGAGACACGGACCAGACUCCUACGGGAGGCAGCAGUGAGGAAUAUUGGUCAAUGGGCGGGAGCCUGAACCAGCCAAGUCGCGUGAAAGGAAGAAGGAUCUAUGGUUCGUAAACUUCUUUUGCAGGGGAAUAAAGUGCAGGACGUGUCCUGUUUUGUAUGUACCCUGAGAAUAAGGAUCGGCUAACUCCGUGCCAGCCGCUGC
RNAcentral lists this ribosomal RNA (519 nucleotides) under uncultured bacterium. RNAcentral describes it as "bacterial SSU rRNA". It matches the Rfam family "Bacterial small subunit ribosomal RNA", at positions 8 to 518 of the family's 1533-position model. The record is from RNAcentral.